RNAcentral lists this long non-coding RNA (1769 nucleotides) under Marmota monax (woodchuck). The record is from RNAcentral. Lineage: Eukaryota; Metazoa; Chordata; Mammalia; Rodentia; Sciuridae.
GGGGGUUCCAAUUUCUCCAUACCUUUACCAACACUUGUUAUUUUCUCUUUUUUUAUUAUAACCACUCUAGUGGGUGGACCAUGGUAUGUCAUUGUGGUUUUGAUAUAUUAUAACCUGAUGGCUAAUGAUAUUGAAAAUAUUUUUUUUUUAAUUUUAAUAUUUAUUUUUUAGUUUUUGGCAGACACAACAUCUUUGUUUGUAUGUGGUGCUGAGGAUCGAACCUGGGCCGCACACAUGCCAUGGAAGCGCACUACCGCUUGAGCCACAUCCCCAGCCCUUGAAAAUAUUUUCAUGUGCUUAUUAUCCAUUGUAUAUGUUCUUUGAGAAAUGUCUAUAAAAAUUCUUUGCCUUUUUUAAAAGUUGGGUUUUCUUUUCAACAUUGAAUUUUUAAGGGCUCUUCGUAUAUUGUAGACACAAGUACUUUAUCAAAUAUACAAUUUGCAAAUAUUUCUCCCAUUCUCUGAGUUUCCUUAAACUUUCUUGAUACUGUACAUUGAGCCACAAAAAUUAAUUUUUAUGAAUUCCAAAUUGAUGGUUUCUUAUUUUGUUGCUUGUACUUUUGGUGUCAUAUCUAAAGAUCUAUUGCCAAACCAAAGGUCACAAAGAUUUACUCUUGUGUUCUCUUCUAAGCAUUUUACUACUUUAGCUCUCACAUUUAGGUAUCUAAUCUACUUUGAGUAAUUUUUUUUUAUAAAGUAGGGCCCAUCUUAAUUCUUUUGUAUGUGGAUAUCUAGUAUCACACUGUAUUUAUUAGUCUGUAAUUUAUUACAUUUUAGAGGCACUGUUUUUUUCUCUACCAAUCUUUUAAAAAUGUUUAAAAUACUUUAUUUUCCUAAUCACAGUGGUGGUACAUGUAUACAGAGCAAGAUGUACAAGUGGUCUAUUCUCACUAAAUCUUUCCCCCACUCAUUUUAGCAGUUUAUAGUAUAAAUUCUUUCAGAGAGUUGUAUAUGCUGAUACAAUAGAGGAAUGACUGGAUAAAGAUAUGAUGAAAAGAUACAUGUUUAUAUUUAUAUAUUAUACAUGAUAUUUAUUUUAAAUCUAAACAAGUUAAUAUUAUUCUAUUUUUUCAAUUCAAACAUUUUAUGAAUAUGUAAAACACAUUUAUCUAUAUCAAUAAGCAAAAUCUGUUUCUUUUUAUGGCUGCAUAAGACUGCAUAGAACAGACAUAUAGGUCUAAUGCUCAGUUGCUGGGAUCAGGCUUACAGGUAUUGCCUUUAAGAAUGAUCUGUAUAGCGAUAAUUGAAGCCUUCUGACUGGAUGAGAUCACUCAAGUAGAACACAUACUUUCACAAGACAGCUAUAGCAUAAGACAGUAUGGCAUCAGUCAGAAAAGAGCACCUACCAUGGGCAUUAGGACUCUUAGGAUUUAGCACUGAUUUGAGAGUAGGAAAUUCUCACUUAAAUCUCUCCAAGGUUCAUUUUACUUUUUUCUAAAAGGAAGAUGGUCACCAUUUCCUAUUUCCAUGGAAUGACAAGUUAGUGGGGCCAAAUGGGAUAAAAUAUGUGAAAUUCUUUGAUAUAUUCAGAAUAAAAAUGAAUAAAUACAAGCUAUUAUUACAAAAUAUCUUGUAUUACUUGACCUCUUGUUUGAAUUAGAGUUCUAUCAGAACUGAGAAAUUCUGUCUACUUUUUUCCUUAAUCUACAAACAUUAGCACUCUCCAUUCCCAGUACAUUUGUUAUAGUGAAAUAAAAUAAGAAGCAAUUGUCUCUCCCUAAGUUCAUCUAUGUAUGCAUGUACCAUGUCAACCAAGUAGUUUGAUAAUUC